RNAcentral lists this transfer RNA (47 nucleotides) under Spinibdella lignicola. RNAcentral's name for it is "tRNA-Asp". Lineage: Eukaryota; Metazoa; Arthropoda; Arachnida; Trombidiformes; Bdellidae. The record is from RNAcentral.
AAUGAAGAAGCUAAAGUAAAAUGUCAUUUUACAUUAAUAAUUCUUAU